UACGUAGGGGGCAAGCGUUGUCCGGAAUCAUUGGGCGUAAAGCGCGCGUAGGCGGCCCGGUAAGUCCGCUGUAAAAGUCCAGGGCUCAACCCUGGAAAGCCGGUGGAUACUGUCGGGCUAGAGUCCGGAAGAGGCGAGUGGAAUUCCUGGUGUAGCGGUGAAAUGCGCAGAUAUCAGGAGGAACACCAAUGGCGAAGGCAGCUCGCUGGGACGGUACUGACGCUGAGACGCGAAAGCGUGGGGAGCGAACAGG
Molecule: ribosomal RNA, 253 nt
Filed under: uncultured bacterium
Lineage: Bacteria
Description: partial 16S ribosomal RNA
Rfam family: Bacterial small subunit ribosomal RNA
Source: RNAcentral